Molecule: long non-coding RNA, 1180 nt
Filed under: Vulpes vulpes (red fox)
Lineage: Eukaryota; Metazoa; Chordata; Mammalia; Carnivora; Canidae
Description: lncRNA (ENSVVUG00000018868.1)
Source: RNAcentral
CCUGAACCCAAGAUGACUGGUGUCUUUACAGGAAGAGGAGAGACAGACGCAGAGAGGAGACUCCCAUGUGGUAAAGGAGACACAGGGAAUUUGUAUUGGCAGAGGCAGAGAUUGGAAGGAAGCACCGGGGGAGCCAAAGGAAACUAGGAGAGAAGGAAGGAAGGAUUGUCUCCCGAUGCUCCCAGGAAGCCCAGCCCAGACAUCUGCAGUGUAGACACAGACUCCACAACGUGACAGAAUGUGUUUCUAUUGCUGCCAGCUACCCCGUUUGUGACCAUUUGUUACGGCAGCCCCAGGAAAUGAGUGUGGUCUAUUUUUACCUGUAUCUCCAGUCUUCGUCUGGGUUCAUGCCUGAUUGCACCCUAGCUUAUAUGUGAUUGUUCAUCUCUGGGGAUUGCCCACCUCUGCCCCCCGAAAAAGAACUAGGCCAUCAAAUGUGAGUUCUCUGACAGAAUUCUCCCCCAUUAUCUGUGAUUUUGGCUGCCUGUGCUCAAUAGCGUCCUGGAAGCCGAUGCUCCUGCUUAUGUAUUGCAAAGGGAACGAGGCCGACCAAGAAUCACGGUGCUGUUCAUUUCAGACAUGGGAGCAGAAGACAAGAUUUCAGACUCAUACACACUGCGACCCCAUGCCCGACUUCAAAAAAACAGUGAUUCAUCCAGACACCAAAGCUCAGCAGCUCAGAGUCAACCUCAAAUAUAGUCAAAGCUCACCAAGUGCUCCCCCAAGAAAAAUAGAACCUAAGUGCCUGACGACCUUUACCGCAGGCAUAUUUUUAGGGACGUGCCUAUCCCGUAUACUUCUUGCUCCCUCACGUAGAAGGAAAUCUCUAGAAUAACACCUCCAACUGAGCCUCUCUUCCUCCAACUCUCUUGCUCCCCAGAAUAUCAACUGGCCCAGAUUCCCCAGGUAGGGAGGGACGUCAUCAACAAAGGCUGUUACUCUGCCGAAGAACUGGCCUUGAGGCUCUCCCUAGGAGUUGCAAAGCAAUGAGAUUUCCUUCCCACGGAGUGGCAACACACACGUGAAUGUGCAAAAGGGGAAAAAACAAAUCGCCAAAGCAGAUGUGUAGCUGCGGUUCUCCCAGCCUCUCUAGAGAUGACCUAAAAACCAAAAUCUGAAUCACCUAAGACAGGUGUUUGCUCUUUGCUUCAGAUACUAUUCAACAUUCCUCUAGCAACUG